CGUAGGGCCCGAGCGUUGUCCGGAAUUAUUGGGCGUAAAGGGCUCGUAGGCGGUUUGUCGCGUCGGGAGUGAAAACCAUGGGCUUAACUCAUGGCUUGCUUUCGAUACGGGCAGACUAGAGGUAUGCAGGGGAGAAUGGAAUUCCUGGUGUAGCGGUGAAAUGCGCAGAUAUCAGGAGGAACACCGGUGGCGAAGGCGGUUCUCUGGGCAUUACCUGACGCUGAGGAGCGAAAGUGUGGGGAGCGAACAGGAUUAGAUACCCUGGUAGUCCACACCGUAAACGUUGGGCGCUAGGUGUGGGACCUAUUCCAUGGGUUCCGUGCCGUAGCUAACGCAUUAAGCGCCCCGCCUGGGGAGUACGGCCGCAAGGCUA
This 373-nucleotide ribosomal RNA is filed under the name uncultured organism. RNAcentral describes it as "bacterial SSU rRNA". It matches the Rfam family "Bacterial small subunit ribosomal RNA", at positions 526 to 896 of the family's 1533-position model. The record is from RNAcentral.